This 1796-nucleotide long non-coding RNA is filed under the name Gallus gallus (chicken). Its description in RNAcentral is "lncRNA (ENSGALG00010000455.1)". Lineage: Eukaryota; Metazoa; Chordata; Aves; Galliformes; Phasianidae. The record is from RNAcentral.
CAUAGCGACCCCUCAGCCCUAUAGGGUCCCCCGAAAACCACACAGGGACACCUCAGCCCUAUAGGGACCCCCAAACCCCAUAGGGGCCCCAAAACCCCACAGAGCCCCAUAGGGUCCCCCCAAAACCCCACAGGGACCCCUCAGCCCUAUAGGAACCCCAAAACCCCCAUAGCGACCCCUCAGCCCUAUAGGAACCCCAAAACCCCAUAGGGAGCCCAAAACCCCACAGAGCCCCAUAGGGACUCCCCCAAACCCCAUAGGGAACCCCUCAGCCCUACAGGAACCCCCCCCCAAAAUACCAUAGGGACCCCUCAGCCCUAUAGGAACCCCAAAACCCCAAAGAGGCCCCAAAACCCCACAGAGCCCCAUAGGGUCCCCCCAAAACCCUACAGGGAUCCCUCAGCCCUAUAGGAACCCCAAAACCCCCCAUAGGGACCCCUCAGCCCUAUAGGAACCCCAAAACCCCCCAUAGGGACCUCUCAGCCCUAUAGGGACCCCAAAACCCCACAGGAACCCCUCAGCCCUAUAAGGACACCAAAAACCCCAUAUGGACCCCCCAGCCCUAUAGCAACCCCAAACCCCAGAGGGACCCCUCAGCCCUAUAGGAACCCCCAAACCCCAUAGGGGCCCCAAAACCCCACAGAGCCCCAUAGGGUCCCCCCAAAACCCUACAGGGACCCCUCAGCCCUAUAGGAACCCCAAAACCCCAAAGAGGCCCCAAAACCCCACAGAACCCCAUAGGGAACCCCAAAACCCCACAGGGACCCCUCAGCCCUAUAGGAACCCCAAAACCCCCAUAGCGACCCCUCAGCCCUAUAGGGUCCCCCGAAAACCACACAGGGACCCCUCAGCCCUAUAAGGACACCAAAAACCCCAUAGGGAACCCCCAGCCCUAUAGGGGACCCCCAAACCCCAUAGGGACCCCUCAGCCUUAUACAGAUCCCGAAACCCCAUAGGGGCCCCAUUGGGUCCCCCCAAAACCCCAUACGGAACCCCUCAGCUCUAUAGGAACCCCAAAACCCCAUAGGGACCCCUCAGCUCUAUAGAGACCCCCAAAACCCCAUGGGGACCCUCAAGCCCUAUAGGAACCCCAAAACCCCAUGGAGAACCCUCAGCCCUAUAUAGACCCCCAAAACCCCACAGGGACCCCGAUACCCUACAGAGCCCCACAGGGACCCCCCCCAAAAACCCCAUAGGGAACCUCCAGCCCUAUAGGAACCCCAAAACCCCACAAAGCCCCAUAGGGACCCCCCAAAACCCCAUGGGAGCCCCAAAACCCCACAGAGCCCCAUAGGGACCCCCCAAAACCCCAUGGGAGCCCCAAAACCCCACAGAGCCCCAUAGGGUCCCCCCAAAACCCCAUAGGGACCCCUCAGCCCUAUAGGAACCCCAAAAGCCAGAAGGGACCUCAAAACCACACAGAGCCCCAUACAGACACCCCAAAACCCCAUAGGGAACCCCCAGCCCUAUAGGAACCCCAAAACUCCACAGAGCCCCAUAGAGUCCCCCCAAAACCCCACAGGGACCCUGAUACCCUACAGAGCCCCAUAGGGACCCCCAAAACCCCAUAGGGACCCCUCAGCCCUAUAGGAACCCCAAAACUCCACAGAGCCCCAUUGAGACCCCCAAAUCCCAUAGGAGACCCCAUACAGACCCCAAAACCCCACAGAGCUCCAUAGGGAACCCCAAAUCCACAUAGAGGGUCGCCAAACCCCAAAGGGACCCCAAAACCCCACAGAGCCCCAUAGGGACACCCCACAAACCCCACAGAGACCCCAAAACCACCGGCGGUACCC